RNAcentral lists this ribosomal RNA (253 nucleotides) under uncultured Eubacteriales bacterium. Its description in RNAcentral is "uncultured Clostridiales bacterium partial 16S ribosomal RNA". It matches the Rfam family "Bacterial small subunit ribosomal RNA", at positions 524 to 776 of the family's 1533-position model. The record is from RNAcentral. Lineage: Bacteria; Bacillati; Bacillota; Clostridia; Eubacteriales.
UACGUAGGAUCCGAGCGUUAUCCGGAAUCACUGGGUGUAAAGGGAGCGUAGACGGCUGUGCAAGCCUGAAGUGAAAGGCGGGGGCCCAACCCCUGGACUGCUUUGGGAACUGUACGGCUGGAGUGCAGGAGAGGUAAGUGGAAUUCCUAGUGUAGCGGUGAAAUGCGUAGAUAUUAGGAGGAACACCAGUGGCGAAGGCGGCUUACUGGACGAUGACUGACGCUGAGGCUCGAAAGCGUGGGGAGCAAACAGG